GUUGUAUGGUUAAGUGACUAAGCGUACACGGUGGAUGCCUUGGCAGUUGGAGGCGAUGAAGGACGUACUAACUUGCGAUAAGCCUAGUCAAGCCAGUAAGAGGCGCUUGAGACUAGGAUUUCCGAAUGGGGAAACCCACCUGCUUUGCAGGUAUCGUUAACUGAAUACAUAGGUUAACGAGGCGAACGCGGAGAACUGAAACAUCUAAGUACCCGUAGGAAAAGAAAUCAACCGAGAUUCCGAAAGUAGCGGCGAGCGAAAUCGGAGCAGCCCUUAAGCUUUAAUGUAGUUAGUGGAAUAUGCUGGAAAGCAUGACGAAACAGGGUGAUAGUCCCGUACACGACAACUUAUUUAAAGUGAAAUCGAGUAGGUCGGAGCACGUGAAACUUUGACUGAAUAUGGGGGACCAUCCUCCAAGGCUAAAUACUCCCAACUGACCGAUAGUGAACCAGUACCGUGAGGGAAAGGCGAAAAGAACCCCUGUGAGGGGAGUGAAAUAGAACCUGAAACCGUGUACGUACAAGCAGUAGGAGCCUACUUUUUGGGUGACUGCGUACCUUUUGUAUAAUGGGUCAGCGACUUAUAUUCUGUAGCGAGGUUAACCAUUUAGGGGAGCCGUAGCGAAAGCGAGUCUUAACUGGGCGCUUAAGUUGCAGGGUAUAGACCCGAAACCCGGUGAUCUAGCCAUGGGCAGGUUGAAGGUUGAGUAACAUCAACUGGAGGACCGAACCCACUAACGUUGAAAAGUUAGGGGAUGACCUGUGGCUAGGAGUGAAAGGCUAAUCAAACCGGGAGAUAGCUGGUUCUCCCCGAAAUCUAUUUAGGUAGAGCCUCGGACGAAUACUUACGGGGGUAGAGCACUGUUAAGGCUAGGGGUCAUCCCGACUUACCAACCCUUUGCAAACUCCGAAUACCGUAAAGUAAUAUCCGGGAGACACACGGCGGGUGCUAACGUCCGUCGUGGAGAGGGAAACAACCCAGACCGUCAGCUAAGGUCCCAAAGUGUAUGUUAAGUGGGAAACGAUGUGGGAAGGCUAAAACAGCUAGGAGGUUGGCUUAGAAGCAGCCACCCUUUAAAGAAAGCGUAAUAGCUCACUAGUCGAGUCGGCCUGCGCGGAAGAUGUAACGGGGCUAAACAUACCACCGAAGCUACGGCUGCAGACUUUGUCUGCGGGGUAGGGGAGCGUUCUGUAAGUGGCUGAAGGUGUGCCGGGAGGCAUGCUGGACAUAUCAGAAGUGCGAAUGCUGACAUGAGUAACGACAAGAGGAGUGAAAAACUCCUCCGCCGGAAGACCAAGGGUUCCUAUCCCAUGUUAAUCAGGGUAGGGUGAGUCGACCCCUAAGGCGAGGCUGAAGAGCGUAGUCGAUGGGAAACGGGUUAAUAUUCCCGUACUCGGUAUGAAUGCGAUGGGGGACGGAGCAGGCUAGGCAAGCAUGGCGUUGGUUGUCCAUGUGAAAGGCUGUAGGCUGGUGACUUAGGAAAAUCCGGGUUGCCAAGGCUGAGAGUCGAGACGAGCCACUAAGGUGGUGAAGUUGUUGAUGCCCUACUUCCAGGAAAAGCCUCUAAGCUUCAGUUCAUACUGAAUCGUACCCUAAACCGACACAGGUGGUCAGGUAGAGAAUACUAAGGCGCUUGAGAGAACUCGGGUGAAGGAACUAGGCAAAAUUGUACCGUAACUUCGGGAGAAGGUACGCUCUUGUUUGUGAAAGACUUGCUCUGUAAGCAAACGAGAGCCGCAGUGACCAGGUGGCUGGGACUGUUUAUUAAAAACACAGCACUGUGCAAAAUCGUAAGAUGACGUAUACGGUGUGACACCUGCCCGGUGCCGGAAGGUUAAUUGAUGGGGUUAGCUUAGGCGAAGCUCUUGAUCGAAGCCCCGGUAAACGGCGGCCGUAACUAUAACGGUCCUAAGGUAGCGAAAUUCCUUGUCGGGUAAGUUCCGACCUGCACGAAUGGUGUAACCAUGGCCACGCUGUCUCCACCCGAGACUCAGUGAAAUUGAAAUCGCAGUGAAGAUGCUGUGUACCCGCGGCUAGACGGAAAGACCCCGUGAACCUUUACUACAGCUUGGCACUGAACAUUGACCCUACAUGUGUAGGAUAGGUGGGAGGCUUUGAAGCGCGCACGCUAGUGCACGUGGAGCCGACCUUGAAAUACCACCCUUGUAGUGUUGAUGUUCUAACUUAGGCCCCUGAAUCGGGGUUGAGGACAGUGCCUGGUGGGUAGUUUGACUGGGGCGGUCUCCUCCCAAAGAGUAACGGAGGAGCACGAAGGUUUGCUAAGUACGGUCGGACAUCGUACGGUUAGUGUAAUGGUAGAAGCAAGCUUAACUGCGAGACAGACACGUCGAGCAGGUACGAAAGUAGGUCAUAGUGAUCCGGUGGUUCUGAAUGGAAGGGCCAUCGCUCAACGGAUAAAAGGUACUCCGGGGAUAACAGGCUGAUACCGCCCAAGAGUUCAUAUCGACGGCGGUGUUUGGCACCUCGAUGUCGGCUCAUCACAUCCUGGGGCUGAAGUCGGUCCCAAGGGUAUGGCUGUUCGCCAUUUAAAGUGGUACGCGAGCUGGGUUUAGAACGUCGUGAGACAGUUCGGUCCCUAUCUGCCGUGGGCGUUUGAGAAUUGAGAGGGGCUGCUCCUAGUACGAGAGGACCGGAGUGGACGAACCGCUGGUGUUCGGGUUGUGAUGCCAAUUGCAUUGCCCGGUAGCUACGUUCGGAAUCGAUAACCGCUGAAAGCAUCUAAGCGGGAAGCGAGCCUCGAGAUGAGUUCUCACUUUGACUUAGAGUCAACUGAAGGGCCGUUGAAGACUACAACGUUGAUAGGCGAGAUGUGGAAGUGCUGUGAGGCAUUAAGCUAACUCGUACUAAUUACCCGUGAGGCUUAACCAUACAACGCCAAAGUGGUUU
Molecule: ribosomal RNA, 2907 nt
Filed under: Pseudoalteromonas piscicida
Lineage: Bacteria; Pseudomonadati; Pseudomonadota; Gammaproteobacteria; Alteromonadales; Pseudoalteromonadaceae
Description: bacterial LSU rRNA
Rfam family: Bacterial large subunit ribosomal RNA
Source: RNAcentral